ACUUGCAGGCAGGUGGGGGUGCAGGAAAACCCACUAGCACUGCCCUCCAAGCUUAAGGCUUCCAUCCUCAGAGCACCCCAUCCAUCCCCUCACUCCCCUCCCCUGUAACUGGCCUUUACCAACCCAUAACCCGUUUCCCCACUUCAUUUUCCCCCCACAACAUCAACAGUCUCUGGCUGCCCGUCCCUCUGCAACACAGGCAGCUCUGAGGAAGAAGAAGGGAGAGAAACGAAAGCAUAGAGGAACGGAACGAUGGAGGGGGAUCAGAGCUGCAUGGAAGGAGUGUGGGCUCCAGAGUGAGCAGGCCUGGGUUCAAAUCUUGGCUCUGUCAUAUACUGGCUGUGACUGGGCAAGUCACCCUACCUCCCCGGGCCUCAGUUUCCACAUCUGGAAAAUGUACACAAGAAUGAAGACCUACUUUGCAAAGCGGUUGUGACUUCUAUGAUGGAAGCUUUUUGCACACCACACAGUGAGUUGAGAGCCUGAGUUAUUGUCAUCCCUGGGGCUGGCAUCAGGCCUGGCAUGGAGGAGGUGCCUGGGAAAUGUUUGGAGAAUAAAAUGAGGGAAGCUGGUAGUGGA
This 579-nucleotide long non-coding RNA is filed under the name Mustela putorius furo (domestic ferret). RNAcentral describes it as "lncRNA (ENSMPUG00000026031.1)". The record is from RNAcentral. Lineage: Eukaryota; Metazoa; Chordata; Mammalia; Carnivora; Mustelidae.